GGCGCGGUGGCCUAAUGGUUAGGGAACUGGACUCUGGAUCAAGAGGUCUGGGUUCAAGCCCUGGCCGGGUUCA
Molecule: non-coding RNA, 73 nt
Organism: Desmophyllum pertusum
Lineage: Eukaryota; Metazoa; Cnidaria; Anthozoa; Scleractinia; Caryophylliidae
Source: the annotation of a GenBank genome assembly